CUUGAUGGGCCUUGUAUGAAACGAGUAUUCUGUUAUGUUAUUUAAUUUGAAUUUUGUACGUUAAAAUAGGUUGAACAAUAUACUAAUAUUAAUAAGAAUUUUCUUAUAAUUCUAUCUUGAGUUAAACUACUGUUUUCUUUAUACAUACAAGAUGAAUAUUGUUUGUGUAAUAUGUAGUGAUUUAUUAAUACCUUCUGAUGAUGUUUUCCACACACCUUGUGGGCACAUUUUUCAUUUUGUUUGUUUAACCCAAUGGUUAGAAAGAUCCAGAUCAUGUCCACAAUGUAGAGAAAAAACUACCUCGCAUAAGAUUCAUAGAAUAUAUUUUAAUUUCUCUAACAAUGAUACCAUUGUCGAUGAUACCUGCUCUUUGCAGGAUAAACUUGAUAAAAUGAAUUUUCAGCUCAUACUGAAACAGAAUGAGCUUAAACAAUUUAUGGAAAAGAGUGAAACAUUUGAAAAACAAACUGCAGAGCUAAAAAAAGAAGUAUAUAAACUGGAGUCUGAGCUCAGGGCAAAAAAAUGUACAAUUGAUGCUCUUAAAGAUCAGAUUAAGUACUUCAAACAACAGAAUUUAGAAGUAGAAGCCAAAAGACAAGAAAUUGAGCAGCUACGAAAAGAAAUUGAAACCUACAAAAAUAUACAAACCUUACUUGAAGCAUCUACAGAACAUGUAGACGAGAUAAUCUCAAGAACAGCUGAACCCACUGCACUUAUUACAUACAUUUGUGUGAUGAAAAGGGAAAUGACAGUGAGUUUAAACAAAAGGAAAGAGUUAAGAAGUAAAUUAAGAAGCGUACAACAAGAACUUACCAAAGUAACAACAGAAAGGAACUUGUUGUCCGAAGAACAGGUUAAAAGAAAAAAAUUAGAAGAAGACUUAAUGAUUUGCGAAAGUGAAAAAAUGUUUUUACAAAAUAAGGUAAAAGAGCUAGAAAGAAAUAUAUCAUUAGCAAAAAGAACAAGUGAUUAUGAUUCACAAAAAGUAGAUGCAUUAAAUAGUGAUUUAAAUUUACUUAGUAAUAGUGAACAAAAUAAAGUUAAAACUGCUGUAAAUGAUGCAAAAACUGAGAGAAAAAGCAAUACAGAAAGAAGGAGAUCAGAAGACAAAAGUCAAUCGACUGAGAUGUUUGUUUUUAGACAGAUGAUACAAACUCGCCGUAUCUUCCGCUUAAAUCGGGGGGCUUGUUUGUUUUAAAACAUUCAGUAACAAAACGUAAUACAAGUAAUCUGAAUCCGUCCAUCUUUACAAAGAGACCAAGAACUGAGAAGCCAAAUGAACAAGUAAGAGGUAAUCUUAUGUAUGAUGGUUUUGGAGGACAUUCGAAGCUUGAAAGAUUCCCCAAUCCAUUAAGUAUGAAAAUGAAGAAAGCGAAAGAAGAUGCAAAAUUUAAACUAGAUGCAAGACAAAGAAGUUUGAUAUAGAUUAAUUAUAAUGACAAUUACACGCCAAAUGUAUUAUAGGAAAUUGAUGUACUAUGAUUCUAUGCAUUGUCAUGCGUAGAAACUGAGUCAAUUACUGUAUAAAUAUUUAGCCACCAUUUCACUUUAAGGUGAUUGAUAUUUUAGAAAUACGAAACAAAUGAAAUUUCGCGUAAAGAGAUGCUAGGGAAAAUCUAUUUAUAUUACAUGUAAUCGGUAACGUGAGCCUGUGAGAGAUAUGUAAUCUACAAGGUGAAAAAAAUUGUUGUUGAAUGUCUGUUCUAAUAUAUUAAAAUAUACAAACCACGUGGAACUACAUGUUCCACUAGUUUAUUAUGUCAAAGUCCAUAUUUUUAUAAACAUUGUUUGGGAAAACAUGUAGUACACUAUUUUUUAAAAUGUAAAUAUGUCCUAAAAGUGUGAGAGCAGCAACAUUAUUUAUUAUAUGACAUUCACACAGAAUUGUAUUGUCUAUUUUAUAUUUUUAUACAAAAUCUAAAUAAAUGUUUAACAUAAGUACUGUAUUCCCAGAUAUUGAUUUUUCUUUUACAAAAAUUGUAACUGAUCCAGAACACAUUCUCGAUCAAUUUUCGCAGGUCUUUGUCCAAUGUUAGAUGCGAUAUAGUUAAAGUUCUGAAGCGUUAUUUCAAUGUUUGCGCUUUGUACAAACGAUUCAACAUAGAUGAGAAAGUUAUUAGGUGUUCUGGAAAGUUUAUGCGGUUUUCAUGCGCUAUAAACACACAUGCAUUCACGUAUUUCGUAUCCUGUCUCUCACGGAUAAUUAUCCUCGCUCAAUAAUCUUGUUUCAGCCCCUAACUUAUGAAUGCCGUUUUUCCUCAAAUUUGUGUCUUGCGAUAAUUACUUUUUGCCACGCGUUCAUUCGUGUUUACUGCUCAUUUCAAUCCUAAUUAAUGAAACAAGAUCUUAAAUAAAAGGUGAAAAAGAUACAUCAGAAGAGCUGUUUACGAUGAGUAUAAUUAGAUUGCAAGUCUCAAAAAAG
Megachile rotundata (alfalfa leafcutting bee) is the source of this 2422-nucleotide unclassified non-coding RNA. The record is from RefSeq and is a predicted model, not a curated record. NCBI's taxonomy places the organism in Eukaryota, Metazoa, Arthropoda, Insecta, Hymenoptera, Megachilidae.